CCAACAUGUGGGAACUCUUCAUCAUUUACUAGAUGGAUAACACAGACCAUCUUGAACAAGUCCAUUUGACUCAAGUCUAACCCCAAAUAGAGGAAUGUUAUCUACUAUUUCCCUGCUAGAAGUACUGUUUGGAAGUUUCCACAAGCUCAUAUUUGAGUGCAGGAAGUUACCCAUCGAGUUUCUUCAGAGAGUUUAUGGCUUUCUCAAGAGACCCCUUUAGGAUCG
Molecule: long non-coding RNA, 225 nt
Filed under: Lathyrus oleraceus (garden pea)
Lineage: Eukaryota; Viridiplantae; Streptophyta; Magnoliopsida; Fabales; Fabaceae
Description: Pisum sativum (pea) long non-coding RNA (PSAT_LNC040102)
Source: RNAcentral